This is a long non-coding RNA of Hipposideros armiger (great roundleaf bat), 2356 nucleotides long. RefSeq lists it as uncharacterized. The record is from RefSeq and is a predicted model, not a curated record. The transcript has 3 exons. NCBI's taxonomy places the organism in Eukaryota, Metazoa, Chordata, Mammalia, Chiroptera, Hipposideridae.
CCCAAUCCCUGCUGCGCUCUUGGCUGUGACUCGCUUUCGGAGCUACGCCCGGGAUCUCUUGUGACGCUCAGGUGGAUAUGAGGAUAAACCGAGAUGUACCAAGCAUUUUGAACAGGACGCACCCACUAAGCCCUCAAAUGGUUACUUCUUUGCCCACCUAACAGUAACGUGGUUCCUUAGGAUAUGAAAUACCUGUAAGCAUGUUUCACCUGUUCUUCCUUUUUGGGUGUUUGUGAUGGGUUUUAUUAUUUUGUGGGAAAUCUUUGUGCAGGCUUUUUAGUACGUGUGCCCAUCUGCUCACGUGGUCAGUCCACAGAAAUGGUUUUACUAUGCCUUUUGCUACUUGUGCCCAAGUGCUCUCUGAAAGACUGACCCAAAUGUUCACAUCCACUAAUAGGAAAACUGUCUUAUCGCAUCUUUGCUAGCAAAAACGGCUAUUGUGAAAAUUGUCUAUUUUCUCAAGUCACUAGCUAUCCACUCAAAAACACACAGAGACUAUAUAUACAUACAUAUAAUUUGCUAAUGUAAUCUAGCUGUGAUCUUGUUGAAACGCGCGCCCUUCCGGCCAGCAGUGGAAUACUGCUGCACUGCGUUUCGACCCGUUGUGUUUAUUUCCUCUUUUCUGAGAGACAUUAAGGUCCUGUGGGCUUCUAUCAGAGUCUCACUAUUCUUACUGAUCAGCUUAAGCUUCAACUAGAACCACAUCGUUGACGGUCAUGUCUUGUAAAUUUGCCAACUACCUUUUCGGACCUAAAUAUUACCAUGUUCUGUGGCAUGUCAGGCUGAGCCAUGUACCACUUUGUGAUUUCUUCCCUAGCUUUCAAGGGUGAACGACUCUCAGCCAUCCACUUAGUUGGUAGAGCUUCUACCUGCCUGGCUUUCUUUGAUUUGUCUUGAAACCAUGGCUUCUUUACAGCUUCAAGGGGAGAGUGCCUGGAGAACACCAACUACAAAUCCCUGAUGUCCUGGUUUUGACACUGGAUGACUUGACCCAGGUCCACUCACAUCCGUCCUUCUGUCACUUUCCCAGAGGAGGUACGAGCUGGUCAAACAUCCCUGAUUAGCAGACUCUUCAAACAGGUCACGGGCCUGCUGUUUCUUCUCUUCAUCCUGGAAUAAGUCCAGACACAGCUGAUGCUUUUCUUAUUCUCCACUUUCUGCUAAACCAUUCUACUAAACACCUUCAUCUGUCUCUGUAGCUCUAAGUGAUCACAUGCAUUGCUCUUUAAUAAAAUGAGUUAACUACAUCAGAAUAGAAAUGACUUCUCUUAAAGACACAAUUUGACAACCAAUAUGGAAAGCAAACUCACAGGUUCCGCCCUCACAGGCCCUGCUUUCUCCUGGAUGAGGUUCGUGUUUGGCUAUGUCGGGGCUCCUCAGCCUCCUCCCUCAUGCCCAGUAUCCCUCCCUGAUACUGCCAACGCCCACCUGUCACCAGAAGCCAUUCCCUGAGUUUGCUGCAGAGGGGGUUCCUUAAUCAUAAAGCUUGUUCAAGUUUUCUCAAGUGUAGAGUCCUACAUGAGGAGUGGGAGAGGCCCACCAAUAGCAGAGCAAUGACACAAGCCCGUUGCUGGGUGCACACUUAGAUGCUCUGACCAGCUCAACAUCCGUUCUCAUGGAAGGGCUCAGUUUGGCUUUGAACCUGGUAUGUCUCCUUUUGCUGCUUUUCACUUACUUUCUGGUCCUUGGUGUUUGCAGCUGCUAGAAAGGUGAGCAGCACAGACAUGCAGAGCUGCUGUAUUACGCAUGCUCACCCAGGCCAGGGACACAUCAAACAAUGUGGAGUCCAACUGGGACGUACAAUUCAACUCACCUCAAAGAGACUCAGCACUCUCCCUAAGCAGUGCAGUAUGGAUGCUCUGUGAGUCUAAAAGGAAAGAGGAGAAAGAAAUGUGGUUAUCAGUGGAGAGAACAUCUGAUGGCUGCCCCUCCCAGUCUGUGUGUCCCAUGGCUCCUGACUGCCCCUCCGCACAGAGGACCGACUGCUUCACGGAGCCUCCGUCCUGCCUUCCCAGCUGUCAAUAUGCCAGCAGUCCAGCCUCUCAUCUGAUUCCCCUGACCUCUGGCUCUGAGGCCUCCUCUCCUGCAGGGUCGUUUCUAGACACUCCCACAUCCACACUCUUGAUUUUCUGUGCCUCCGCUGCCCUCGGAUCCCUGACUUUACAUGGUCCGGUAUCUCCCCUCAAGGUUUCCUCACUUCCCGGGACCCUAUGGGGCUUGGAUUGCCCAGCUCAGCUUGCCCUACAUGUGCCCCUAGCCAGGACUCACUCUUUGCAGCUGACACUCUGCCCUGAGGCUCUCGUGAACCACGGCCUUGCAGCAGCUUCCAGACACUGACCACGGCGGGCGGAUGAAG